UUCAACGAUGGAUAUCUUGGUUCCCAUAACGAUGAAGAGCGCAGCAAAGUGCGAUAAGCAAUGCGAAUUGCAGAAUUCCGCGAAUCAUCAGAUCCUUGAACGCAACUGGCGCUAGGGGGAUCUCCCCCUAGCAUGUCUGUUUCAGUGUCUG
RNAcentral lists this ribosomal RNA (151 nucleotides) under Begonia fenicis. RNAcentral describes it as "5.8S ribosomal RNA". It matches the Rfam family "5.8S ribosomal RNA". Rfam says of the family: 5.8S ribosomal RNA (5.8S rRNA) is a component of the large subunit of the eukaryotic ribosome. It is transcribed by RNA polymerase I as part of the 45S precursor that also contains 18S and 28S rRNA. Lineage: Eukaryota; Viridiplantae; Streptophyta; Magnoliopsida; Cucurbitales; Begoniaceae. The record is from RNAcentral.